RNAcentral lists this ribosomal RNA (141 nucleotides) under Armillaria sp. Hrascica_M1. RNAcentral describes it as "partial 28S ribosomal RNA". It matches the Rfam family "Eukaryotic large subunit ribosomal RNA", at positions 1 to 142 of the family's 3401-position model. The record is from RNAcentral. Lineage: Eukaryota; Fungi; Basidiomycota; Agaricomycetes; Agaricales; Physalacriaceae.
GACCUCAAAUCAGGUAGGACUACCCGCUGAACUUAAGCAUAUCAAUAAGCGGAGGAAAAGAAACUAACAAGGAUUCCCCUAGUAACUGCGAGUGAAGAGGGAAAAGCUCAAAUUUAAAAUCUGGCAGCUUCGCUGUCCGAG